RNAcentral lists this long non-coding RNA (4242 nucleotides) under Salmo salar (Atlantic salmon). Its description in RNAcentral is "lncRNA (ENSSSAG00000096028.1)". Lineage: Eukaryota; Metazoa; Chordata; Actinopteri; Salmoniformes; Salmonidae. The record is from RNAcentral.
CGAUGAUCAAUGUUUCAAUGAGUCUAGACGUUCAUGAGUAACACAGACUUGAGCUAAUUGUUUUGAGGAUGGAAACUUCUGUAAGUUACGUUUUGGAAAGAAGAGGUGUGGAAAGAAUGAAAAUGUAGUCAGGGGUGGCAUAACUUGCAGGACUGGUAUGCUGCAAGUGUCUUUGUUUUGGCAUGUUUAUUUUCUCUAACUUUGCCCUAACCCUAACCUUAACCACCCGCUAGCAUGCUUACACCAAACCCUAGUCUCACGUGGCUAUCUUUUACAAAUCUCGGGACAACCCUUGCGUUUGAUUGCGAGCUAGAUUGUUGCAAGUCAGAAUUGUUUUCAGAAACACCGCUUCUGUUUGCACCUCCACCCAUGAUACAUAUCUGAUUGGUUUGAUAGGUGGCAACGGGUCACUAACCCUUUUGACUAUCUUUCUGCCAACAAAUGGGUGUCAGAGGCUACCCCAACCCAUAACCACUCGCUAGCAUACUCAACUUAACCUCUCGUGCAUGCAUGUAAAUUACGAAUCACACAAUGUUUAAGUUUCUUGUGAGAUGAAAUUGCUUCAGAAUCACGGAGUGCCUUUAGAUUUCAGUUGCUGAAUAGGAUAGAAUAGAAAUAGAAUAAAAUCGAGAAGACUAGAAUGGAAUGGAAUAUAAAAGAAUAGGGGUAUUACCCUUUGCUUUCUCUUCUUUGGCAGGCUUCUUCUCAACAGAUUUUUCUAUAUUAGAAAGGGAUACCAAUAAAACAAUUGUUAUGUGUUUCUGAAAAUCUUCUAAACAUUUUUGUGCCAUUAACCAGGUUUCCAUCCAACCUUUUUAUGUUAGUAAAGUACAAAGUACAAAAUGUCACGACAGAGCUGAUGUAAACAGCAAAUUUGUUGGUAAAAUUGGUUGGCAAACUGUCGACAAAACAAAAUACGUUAGACAAGGUGGGAUCUUUUUGAGUAUGUAAAAUGAAUUAUGUGAGAAAUAGCAGUGGAAACGUCUUUAUGCGCAAAUAUUGAUAUAAUAACCAUCAUAUUAAAGUUGGAGUCACGUGAUGAUAUCUUGUGAUACCACUACAACUACAAACAUUUUUAAAGUGGCAUUAUUAAAGUAACUAGUGUUCCAUUUAUUAAAGUGGCCAAUGAUUUCAAGUCUGAAUGUAGGCAGCAGCCUCUCUGUGCUAGUGAUGGCUGUUUAACAGUCUGAUGGCCUUGAGUCUAUCGGUCCCAGCUUUGAUGCACCUGUACUGACCUCGCCUUGUGGAUGGUAGCUGGGUGAACAGGCACUGGCUCGGGUGGUUGUUGCCCUUGAUGAUCUUUUUGGCCUUCCUGUGACAUCGGGUGCUGUAGGUGUCCUGGAGGGCAGGUAGUUUGCCCCCAGUGAUGCGUUGUGCAGACCGCACCACCCUCUGGGGAGUCCUGUGGUUGUGGGUGGUGCAGUGGCCGUACCAGGCAGAGAUACAGCCCGACAGGAUGCUCUCAAUUGUGCAUCUGUAAAUGUUUGUGAGGGUUUUUGGUGACAAGCCAAAUUACUUCAGCUUCCUGAGGUUGAAGACGUGCUGUUGCGCUGUCUUCACCACACUGUCUGUGUGGGUGGACCAUUUCAGUUUGUCAGUGAUAUGUACGCCGAGGAACGUAAAACUUUCCACAUUCUGUCCCGUCGAUGUGGAUAGGGGGGUGCUCCCUCUGCUGUUUCCUGAAGUCCAUGAUCAUCUCCUUUGUUUUGUUGACAUUGAGUGAGAGGUUAUUUUCCUGACACCACACUCCAAGAGCCCUCACCUCCUCCCUGUAGGCUGUCUCAUCGUUGUUGGUAAUCAAGCCUAGCAUUGUUGUGUUGUCAGCAAACUUGAUGAUUGAGUUGGAGGCGUGCAUGGCCACCCAGUCAUGGAAGAACAGGGAGUACAGGAGGGGGCUGAGCACGCACCCUUGUGGGGCCCCAGUGUUGAGGAUCAGUGAAGUGGAGAUGUUGUUUCCGACCUUCACCACCUGGGGGUGACCCGUCAGGAAAUCCAGGACCCAAUUCCACAGGGCGGGGUUGAGACCCAGGGCCUCGAGCUUAAUAAUGAGCUUAGUGGGUACUAUAGUGUUGAAUGUUGAGCUAUGGGAGAGAUUGAAUAAACACACCAGCCAGCUUGAGGACGAGGCUAGGGAUGACGUCUGGGCCGGCAGCCCUGCGAGGGUUGACACAUUUAAAUGACUUACUCACGUUGGCCAUGAAGAAGGAGAGCCCACAGUCCUUGGUAGAGGGCUGCGUCAAUGGCACUGUAUUAUCCUCGAAACAGGCAAAGAAGGUGUUUAGUUUGUCUGGAAGCAAGACGUCGGUGUCCACAGCAUGGCUGGUUUUCCUUUUGUAGUCUGUGAUUGUAGGUAGAUGCUGCUACAUACGUCUUGUGUCUGAGCCAUUUAAUUGUGACUCCACUUUGUCUCUAUAUUGACAUUUAGCUUGUUUGAUUGCCUUGCGGAGGGAAUGACUACUGUGUUUGUAUUUUGCCAUAUUCCCAGUCGCCUUGCCAUGGUUAAAUGCGGUGGUACGCACUUUUAUUUUGCGCAAAUGCUGCCAUCUGUCUAUGGUUUUUGGUUAGGGUAGGUUUUAAUAGUCCCACUGGGUACAACAGCUCCUAUACACUUAUAAACUCUCCCAGCGUAUCAGCGUAUACGUCAAUAUUAUUCUCUGAGGCUACCUGGAACAUAUCCCAGUCUGCGUGAUCAAAACAAUCUUGAAGCGUGGAUUCCGAUUGGUCAGACCAUUGAAUAGUCCUUAGCACGGGUACUUCCUGUUUGAGUUCCUGCCUAUAGGAAGGGAGGAGCAAAAUGGAGUCGUGGUCAGAUUUGCCGAAAGGAGGGUGGGGGAGGACCUUGUAUGCAUUGCAGGAGUUAGAGUAACAAUAGUUCUGAGUUUUUUCAGCGCAAGUGCUACAGUCGAUAUGCUGAUAGAAUUUAGGUAGCUUUUUUCUCAAAUUUGCUUUGUUACAAUCCCCAGCUACAAUUAAUUCAGACUCAGGAUAUAUGGUUUCCAGUUUGUAUAAAGUCCAGUGAAGUUCCUUGAGUGCCGUUGUGGUAUCGCCUUGAGGGGGGAUAUACAUGGCUGUGACAAUAACCGAAGAUCGUUCUCUUGGAAGAUAAUGCGGUCGGCAUUUUAUUGUGAGGAAUUCUAGGUCAGGUGAACAAAAGGACUUGAGUUCCUGUAUGUUGUUACAAUUACACCAUGAGUCGUUAAUCAUGAAACAUACACCCCUGCCCUUCUUCCCAGAGAGAGGUUUAUUCCUGUCUGCGCGAUGCACUGAGAAUCCAGGUGGCUGUCUUGUAAAAGUGGAAAAUACUCAUUAAACUAAAGUGUGGUGAGCUUUCAGCGCCUGCCGGCUGCAGUAGCAUCACCCAAGUGGGUGCUGCACAAAGUUAUUGGAGUUUGCUGUACGGAAAGGUGGGCAGGACGUCAGAGAUGGUGAAAUAUACAGUACGUCCAGCGGCUCCCGACUUGUCCAUGUCUGACUGACACACUCUCCGAGCAGCUACCGCAGUGCUCUCUCCGCUCAGUGACCAACGAUGCACCCUUCAAUUCACCUUUUAUUUCCCUAAAUCUAGACAUAUACUUAUUUUAAUUUAAUUUUAGUCUGUAUACUGCAAUUAAGCUUUUAGUUGAGAAUGUGAACAAGAUCAAAUAAACCUUACUAUGUAUUUAAUAAAAGCAAUAAUUGAUUACAUUAUAAACCCAUUAUUUUAUUACAGUGAAAGAAAUGUGAAUGACAAUGCAGUAGCUACUAUACCUUUCCUGGCAGGGGUUUCCUUAGUUUCCUUAGAUUCAGGUUCUGCUUAAGAUAAGACAGGGAAAUGAUUGGCAAUACAAAAGCAUGUUUGUCAGUCAUUGCAAAGAGACAACUGAGGUUAAAAAAGAGCACAUAAUACAAUGAGUUGGUUUACUUCAGAAACUGCAAAAUAAACCAAACAGUGAUUCAUGGCUUUAUAGCGAGCAAAAUGUAUUAAAGCACAAACUUCAACUCAAAUUGCACUACCCUGAAAGUAUUCCAAAAAGGCAGUCUAGAAUUGAUCAAACAAGUUGGCUUUGCAACGACAUUCUGGAAUUUCUACAGCUGCCAAACAAUACAUGAAUACCUUUCAUUACAGGGACUGAUUUGGAAGCCUCUGCAUUGACAGGAGAGAACACACUCUAAAGAAAUAGGACUACUCCUCGAUCUUCAGACAUUUCAGACUGUUCAUAAACAGCAUUCAGUAAAGGUGGCGAAUCGCAUCUCUGCAUGUCU